UACGGGGGGAGCAAGCGUUGUUCGGAUUUACUGGGCGUAAAGGCGCGGUAGGCGGUCAGCACAAGUCAGUUGUGAAAUCUCCGGGCUUAACUCGGAAAGGUCAACUGAUACUGUGCGACUAGAGUGCGGAAGGGGCAACUGGAAUUCUCGGUGUAGCGGUGAAAUGCGUAGAUAUCGAGAGGAACACCUGCGGCGAAGGCGGGUUGCUGGGCCGACACUGACGCUGAUGCGCGAAAGCCAGGGGAGCGAACGGG
RNAcentral lists this ribosomal RNA (254 nucleotides) under uncultured bacterium. RNAcentral's name for it is "partial 16S ribosomal RNA". It matches the Rfam family "Bacterial small subunit ribosomal RNA", at positions 524 to 776 of the family's 1533-position model. The record is from RNAcentral.